This 499-nucleotide ribosomal RNA is filed under the name uncultured bacterium. RNAcentral's name for it is "partial 16S ribosomal RNA". It matches the Rfam family "Bacterial small subunit ribosomal RNA", at positions 899 to 1397 of the family's 1533-position model. The record is from RNAcentral.
ACUCAAAGGAAUUGACGGGGGCCCGCACAAGCGGUGGAUCAUGUGGUUUAAUUCGAAGCAACGCGAAGAACCUUACCUGGAUUUGACAUCCUGCGACAACCCUAGAGAUAGGGCUUCGGUAGCAAUACCGCGCAGAGACAGGUGCUGCAUGGCUGUCGUCAGCUCGUGUGGUGACAUGUUGGGUUAAGUCCCGCAACGAGCGCAACCCUUGUCCUUAGUUGCCAGCAUUCAGUUGGGCUCUCUAAGGAGACUGCCGUGGUGAACACGGAGGAAGGUGGGGAUGACGUCAAGUCCUCAUGGCCUUUAUAUCCAGGGCGACACACGUGAUACAAUGGACGCUACAGAGGGAAGCGAAAGCGCGAGCUCAAGCAAAUCUCAAAAAGGCGUUCUCAGUUCGGAUUGGAGUCUGCAACUCGACUCCAUGAAGUUGGAAUCGCUAGUAAUCGCGGAUCAGCACGCCGCGGUGAAUACGUUCCCGGGCCUUGCACACACCGCCCGU